This 702-nucleotide ribosomal RNA is filed under the name uncultured Alphaproteobacteria bacterium. RNAcentral's name for it is "bacterial SSU rRNA". It matches the Rfam family "Bacterial small subunit ribosomal RNA", at positions 8 to 754 of the family's 1533-position model. The record is from RNAcentral. Lineage: Bacteria; Pseudomonadati; Pseudomonadota; Alphaproteobacteria.
AGAGUUUGAUCCUGGCUCAGAACGAACGCUGGCGGCAGGCCUAACACAUGCAAGUCGAGCGCGACCUUCGGGUUGAGCGGCGGACGGGUUAGUAACGCGUGGGAAUAUACCCGGUACUAAGGAAUAGCCUCUGGAAACGGAGAGUAAUACCUUAUACGCCCUUCGGGGGAAAGAUUCAUCGGUAUCGGAUUAGCCCGCGUUAGAUUAGAUAGUUGGUGGGGUAACGGCCUACCAAGUCUACGAUCUAUAGCUGGUUUUAGAGGAUGAUCAGCAACACUGGGACUGAGACACGGCCCAGACUCCUACGGGAGGCAGCAGUGGGGAAUCUUGGACAAUGGGCGCAAGCCUGAUCCAGCCAUGCCGCGUGAGUGAUGAAGGCCUUAGGGUCGUAAAGCUCUUUCGCCAGAGAUGAUAAUGACAGUAUCUGGUAAAGAAACCCCGGCUAACUCCGUGCCAGCAGCCGCGGUAAUACGGAGGGGGUUAGCGUUGUUCGGAAUUACUGGGCGUAAAGCGCGCGUAGGCGGAUUGGAAAGCUAGAGGUGAAAUCCCGGGGGCUCAACCCCGGAACUGCCUUUAGAACUCCCAGUCUAGAGUUCGAGAGAGGUGAGUGGAAUUUCCGAGUGUAGAGGUGAAAUUCGUAGAUAUUCGGAGGAACACCAGUGGCGAAGGCGGCUCACUGGCUCGAUACUGACGCUGAGGUGC